RNAcentral lists this ribosomal RNA (305 nucleotides) under uncultured bacterium. Its description in RNAcentral is "bacterial SSU rRNA". It matches the Rfam family "Bacterial small subunit ribosomal RNA", at positions 337 to 640 of the family's 1533-position model. The record is from RNAcentral.
UCCUACGGGACGCAGCAGUGAGGAAUAUUGGUCAAUGGUCGGGAGACUGAACCAGCCAAGCCGGGUGAGGGAGGAAGGUACAGAGUAUCGAAAACCUCUUUUGUCAGGGAACAAAGACUGGGACGCGUCCCCGGAUGAGUGUACCUGAAGAAAAAGCAUCGGCUAACUCCGUGCCAGCAGCCGCGGUAAUACGGAGGAUGCGAGCGUUAUCCGGAUUUAUUGGGUUUAAAGGGAGCGCAGGCGGUCUGUUAAGUCAGCGGUCAAAGCCCGGGGCUCAACCCCGGGCCGCCGUUGAAACUGGGAGG